GUGAACACAAUUAAAUUACUACCUAAUCAUACCAAUUACAUUUAUAUUGCUUCUCCUGGUAAAUUCUCUCUUUUCUUUUUUCUUUUUCCUUCUUUUCUUCCUAACCCAGUACGCGUGCAACUGUCUGUGACAAAAAGACAAACAGUGAGAAGCUACUUGAAAAGACAAAAUUACAUACAUGUGUUUAAUAUUCUUGUAAAAAUUUGAAUAGCUUCUUUUUCAUAUCCUACUUCGCCCAAGAUGGAUAAUUGAAAUUAUCAAAUUUUUUAUGCAAUAGGGUUCUUUCCAAGCAUAAGUAAUUGCAUGCAUUAGUAUAAGAAAUUCUAAUUCUUGUCAAAUUUAAAGUAAUUUGGAUAAUAAUACAUAAAAUUUCACAUAAAUUUCAUUGAAUAACCUCUGGAGAAAAUUAAAACACAGCUUAAUUUGUCUGCAGAUUAGAAAAUUGGAGUGAGCUGUGUGUGUUUAUUUUUCAAGAGCAUACGUGGGUAGAACACAAAAAAGAAAAUGAAAGAGAGUAACGUAGGGCUAAUGAUGAUGAUGAUAUGGGAUAGUGCCUUGCAUUUUUUUUUUUUUGAAGAGUAAAAAUAUAAAUAAUCUAAUGACAGAUUGCUCAAAAUAGGUUUAACCAGUCGUCGACUAAAGACUAAACACCCACCGGGUCUACAACUUCAUGACAAGCACGUUGAUCAGAGCCCCACCCUUCAGGAAAACGAAAAAAAUAAAAAAGGAAACAAACACCUUACCAUGAUUAUCAUCAUACCCACCAACAAAAGCAAAAGCAAAAGCAAAUCAAUAAAAGAUAAUUUCAGUCAUCAAAACAAUACCCGGGUUUCUAUCUUCUUCUUUCUUCCACCUUAGCUUCUUAUAAUACUUGGUCUUUGGUAUCUUCACACCCAGAGAGAGUAUGGGCAGAACUGGUGUAAAAUUG
This 928-nucleotide long non-coding RNA is filed under the name Carica papaya (papaya). RNAcentral describes it as "long non-coding RNA (CPAP_LNC012851)". The record is from RNAcentral. Lineage: Eukaryota; Viridiplantae; Streptophyta; Magnoliopsida; Brassicales; Caricaceae.